UAGGGAAUCUUCCGCAAUGGGCGAAAGCCUGACGGAGCAACGCCGCGUGAGUGAUGAAGGUCUUCGGAUCGUAAAACUCUGUUAUUAGGGAAGAACAAAUGUGUAAGUAACUAUGCACGUCUUGACGGUACCUAAUCAGAAAGCCACGGCUAACUACGUGCCAGCAGCCGCGGUAAUACGUAGGUGGCAAGCGUUAUCCGGAAUUAUUGGGCGUAAAGCGCGCGUAGGCGGUUUUUUAAGUCUGAUGUGAAAGCCCACGGCUCAACCGUGGAGUGUCAUUGGAAACUGGAAAACUUGAGUGCAGAAGAGGAAAGUGGAAUUCCAUGUGUAGCGGUGAAAUGCGCAGAGAUGUGGAGGAACACCAGUGGCGAAGGCGACUUUCUGGUCUGUAACUGACGCUGAUGUGCGAAAGCGUGGGGAUCAAACAGG
This 429-nucleotide ribosomal RNA is filed under the name Actinomycetes bacterium. RNAcentral's name for it is "Actinobacteria bacterium partial 16S ribosomal RNA". It matches the Rfam family "Bacterial small subunit ribosomal RNA", at positions 355 to 776 of the family's 1533-position model. The record is from RNAcentral. Lineage: Bacteria; Bacillati; Actinomycetota; Actinomycetes.